This 434-nucleotide ribosomal RNA is filed under the name uncultured bacterium. RNAcentral's name for it is "partial 16S ribosomal RNA". It matches the Rfam family "Bacterial small subunit ribosomal RNA", at positions 29 to 507 of the family's 1533-position model. The record is from RNAcentral.
AGCGAACGCUGGCGGCAGGCCUAACACAUGCAAGUCGAACGAACCUUUCGGGGUUAGUGGCGGACGGGUGAGUAACACGUGGGAACGUGCCUUUAGGUUCGGAAUAACUCAGGGAAACUUGUGCUAAUACCGAAUGUGCCCUUCGGGGGAAAGAUUAAUCGCCUUUAGAGCGGCCCGCGUCUGAUUAGCUAGUUGGUUGAGGUAAUGGCUCACCAAGGCGACGAUCAGUAGCUGGUGUGAGAGGAUGAUCAGCCACAUUGGGACUGAGACACGGCCCAAACUCCUACGGGAGGCAGCAGUGGGGAAUCUUGCGCAAUGGGCGAAAGCCUGACGCAGCCAUGCCGCGUGAAUGAUGAAGGUCUUAGGAUUGUAAAAUUCUUUCACCGGGGACGAUAAUGACGGUACCCGGAGAAGAAGCCCCGGCUAACUUCGUG